GACGAACGCUGGCGGCGUGCCUAAUACAUGCAAGUUGAGCGCUGAAGGUUGGUACUUGUACCAACUGGAUGAGCAGCGAACGGGUGAGUAACGCGUGGGGAAUCUGCCUUUGAGCGGGGGACAACAUUUGGAAACGAAUGCUAAUACCGCAUAAAAACUUUAAACACAAGUUUUAAGUUUGAAAGAUGCAAUUGCAUCACUCAAAGAUGAUCCCGCGUUGUAUUAGCUAGUUGGUGAGGCAAAGGCUCACCAAGGCGAUGAUACAUAGCCGACCUGAGAGGGUGAUCGGCCACAUUGGGACUGAGACACGGCCCAAACCCCUACGGGAGGGAGCAGUAGGGAAUCUUCGGCAAUGGACGAAAGUCUGACCGAGCACCGCCGCGUGAGUGAAGAAGGUUUUCGGAUCGUAAAACUCUGUUGGUAGAGAAGAACGUUGGUGAGAGUGGAAAGCUCAUCAAGUGACGGUACCUACCCAGAAAGGGACGGCUAACUACGUG
This 497-nucleotide ribosomal RNA is filed under the name uncultured bacterium. RNAcentral's name for it is "partial 16S ribosomal RNA". It matches the Rfam family "Bacterial small subunit ribosomal RNA", at positions 28 to 507 of the family's 1533-position model. The record is from RNAcentral.